Molecule: ribosomal RNA, 253 nt
Filed under: uncultured bacterium
Lineage: Bacteria
Description: partial 16S ribosomal RNA
Rfam family: Bacterial small subunit ribosomal RNA
Source: RNAcentral
CACGUAGGGUGCGAGCGUUGUCCGGAAUUAUUGGGCGUAAAGAGCUCGUAGGCGGUUUGUCGCGUCUGCCGUGAAAGUCCGGGGCUCAACUCCGGAUCUGCGGUGGGUACGGGCAGACUAGAGUGAUGUAGGGGAGACUGGAAUUCCUGGUGUAGCGGUGAAAUGCGCAGAUAUCAGGAGGAACACCGGUGGCGAAGGCGGGUCUCUGGGCCGAUACUGACGCUGAGGAGCGAAAGCGUGGGGAGCGAACAGG